GCCGGGAUGGUCUCAAUCUACUGACCUCACGAUCCACCCACCUCGACCUCCCAAAGUGCUGGGAUUACAGGCGUGAGCCACCGUGCCCAGCCCACUUUCUUUUUUCUAAGAAUUCUCAAAUAUUACUUGAUCAGGCAGUUCUUACCUAUAGAUGAUUUGUACUUAGAUUAACAAUCACUUUUUAAUUCUCAUGGAUGAUUUAUACUUAGUUUAACCAUCACUUUUUAAUUCUCACCUUUGUUUAUUCUGUUUGUGUAGAAGUCCAUGCUAAAAGGUCUUAUACAUUGGGCAUUGAACUAGGUACUAUAUCAGCUGCCUGUUCCAGGAGAAGCUUGAGAGAAAAUAAAUUUUGGAUUAGUCUAAAGGAAGUUACCUUAUUUCUUGAAGUGUCAAGUGUUUUUCAGGGAAGACUAUCACAGGGGGAGAGAGUGAACAAGCCAGACGGACUGAGAUGUAACUUUCUAAUAUCAUAAUUUUUUAUUUAUUCCUAUUGAUGAUAAUAGUGACUAAUACUUAGUCAUCAUUUAUUCAGUGCUCUGUCCUAACUGCUUUGCAUUGUCAAUAUUCUAACAUUAGCAACAUGAAUUAUUACUUAUGUUUCCCCAUGUUAGAAAUGAAGGAACUGAGACCUGGAGAGAUGAUGUUAUGUGCUAAGGUGACAUAGCUAGGAAGCGAUGCAACUGAGAUUCAAACCAGGUUUGUUGUUUUCAGGACCUGAGCACCAAAUUAUUAUAGUGUUCAAUUCCUUUCACCCUCAUACUAAUCUAGACCUUUCAAAAUAUUUGACAUUGAGAUUAAAAUGCAAAGUUCAUGUCAAAAGUAAAGUAUAAUUAUUUUAAAAUUGUUUGCCAUUCAAAAUAAUGUACCCCUCAAACAGCUGAUAGCUGCAUUUGUUUUCUGCUCCUCACUAACAUCUUAAUAUAUAAAAAUCUCAAUGUGUAUGCAUAUAUACAACACAAUAGUGUUGUAGGUGUAGUUGAUAGCUGCCAGCAAACAGUGCCAUCUGUGUUUUCUCUCUUUUUUUUUUUUCUUUUAACUUACUGGAAAAUGUGACUGAAGCUCAAAUUAUGAAUAGGAGCUUAAAGUUCACGUUUAGUAUCUCCACCUUUUAACUCUACCACCCUUUAUUUGCACAAGAAAAUGUGAUCCUCUGUAGUGACUUUGCCCUGUUUACAGAAUAGGAGUGUGUGCUAUUACUGAUAGGAUGGGCAGGUCUUACAGUUAAAAAUACCCAUAAGACAAACAGAUCCUGCAACCUUUACAUAGUCAUUUCUUUACUUUGUGCUUCAUAAAACCCUGUAGGCUAGAGCAAGAAAUUGAUGUAAGUCGAUUUCAGACUGUCUUUAAAAUACAUCCUGGAAUUCUAAAUUAAUGUGAUUCAAGAUCCUGGUAUACUAAGAGAGAUAUUUAAGCAUUUGAUAUCUGAUCUCUCUAGAAGAAUGUCUGCUUACCACACGUACAGUAGUAUCAUAUGGGAGAAGCUAGUUUCUAAAAUAGUUCGGGGUGGAUGUUUGCUUCUGAUUAGCCUGUGUGUGUGUUAGAUGAAUGAGCAAUUGGGAAGUCAUGACCAUGUGUUUGCUGUCAUUUAAACUGCCAAUCUAAUCUAAAUAUACAUGUGGGUGCCUACGGAGACUUCUUCCUUUUCAAGAGGAUCGUUCUUAGUUCUUAACAGCCUUCAAUUCCUUGCCAACACACAUGAACUUAGGGGCACUUCUGUUUUCCUGAGGGCUAUACUGUUUUCUUUUAAAAGAGUGUGGAUCUGGACCCUCAUUAACUUGCCUGUAGGAAGAGAAAAUUGAAGAGAGAGAGGAAGAGGCUGAGGAGAAGACCUUUACCUGUGCUGUCCUGAGCUGCCAUUGUUGAAGGACAUCCUGUGAGCUAAUUUCAGUCCCAUU
This is a long non-coding RNA of Sapajus apella (tufted capuchin), 1895 nucleotides long. RefSeq lists it as uncharacterized. The record is from RefSeq and is a predicted model, not a curated record. The transcript has 2 exons. Lineage: Eukaryota; Metazoa; Chordata; Mammalia; Primates; Cebidae.